RNAcentral lists this ribosomal RNA (422 nucleotides) under uncultured bacterium. Its description in RNAcentral is "partial 16S ribosomal RNA". It matches the Rfam family "Bacterial small subunit ribosomal RNA", at positions 360 to 774 of the family's 1533-position model. The record is from RNAcentral.
AAUAUUGUACAAUGGGGGCAACCCUGAUCCAGCCAUGCCGCGUCUGUGAAGAAGGUCUUCGGAUUGUAAAGCACCUUACGUUGGGAGGAAGCGCUUUACGCUAUUACCCUGAAGUUUUGACGUUACCAACAGAAUAAGCACCGGCUAACUCUGUGCCAGCAGCCGCGGUAAUACAGAGGGUGCAAGCGUUAAUCGGAAUUACUGGGCGUAAAGCGCACGUAAGUGGUUCAGUAAGAUGGGUGUGAAAUCCCCGGGCUUAAACUGGGAACUGCUUUCAUAACUGCUGAGCUAGAGUACGGUAGAGGGUAGUGGAAUUUCCUGUGUAGCGGUGAAAUGCGUAGAUAUAGGAAGGAACACCAGUGGCGAAGGCGACUACCUGGACUGAUACUGACACUGAGGUGCGAAAGCGUGGGGAGCAAACA